GCGAUCAUACCAGCACUAAUGCACCGGAUCCCAUCAGAACUCCGAAGUUAAGCGUGCUUGGGCGAGAGCAGUACUAGGAUGGGUGACCCCCUGGGAAGUCCUCGUGUUGCAUCU
This 114-nucleotide ribosomal RNA is filed under the name Zingiber officinale. The record is from RNAcentral. Lineage: Eukaryota; Viridiplantae; Streptophyta; Magnoliopsida; Zingiberales; Zingiberaceae.